Molecule: non-coding RNA, 240 nt
Organism: Cinara cedri
Lineage: Eukaryota; Metazoa; Arthropoda; Insecta; Hemiptera; Aphididae
Source: the annotation of a GenBank genome assembly
AUAUAAUUUUAAUUUUUAAAAUACGAGUAUUUCAAGUAAAAUCAGAAACGUCAUAAUAUUUUGCCAGGUUUUUGGCGUUCCAGAUAAUGCUAUGCACCGUGCAAUAAUUGUAUGUUAUGACACGUAAAAUGAAAACGAAUUUCGUCACGAAAUUUGAAAUAUUUUACAAAAAGGUACAAAGUUCAGUAUUAUAUAUAUUACCCAGGUAUUCUAGGUACUUAUAACGUAAAAUCGCUCACU